This 299-nucleotide unclassified non-coding RNA is filed under the name uncultured Coprinopsis. RNAcentral's name for it is "sequence contains ITS2". The stretch from base 1 to 52 matches the Rfam family "5.8S ribosomal RNA", at positions 103 to 154 of the family's 154-position model. The record is from RNAcentral. Lineage: Eukaryota; Fungi; Basidiomycota; Agaricomycetes; Agaricales; Psathyrellaceae.
AACGCACCUUGCGCUCCUUGGUAUUCCGAGGAGCAUGCCUGUUUGAGUGUCAUUAAAUUCUCAACCUCACCAAUUUUGUUAUGAAGUUGUGUGCAGGCUUGGAUGUGGGGGUUGCAGGUCCGCUUUGGUGGUCUGCUCCUCUGAAAUGUAUUAGUGGGUUUGGCCCCUAAUCUAUUGGUGUGAUAAUUAUCUACGCCGUGGAUUGGAUGGCUACUAUAGACCUGCUUCUAACCGUCCUUCACCGGACAACUCUUGACAUUUUUGACCUCAAAUCAGGUAAGACUACCCGCUGAACUUAA